Molecule: long non-coding RNA, 262 nt
Filed under: Phoenix dactylifera (date palm)
Lineage: Eukaryota; Viridiplantae; Streptophyta; Magnoliopsida; Arecales; Arecaceae
Description: long non-coding RNA (PDAC_LNC008510)
Source: RNAcentral
AGCUAAUCAUGUUGUGGCCGAGAGCUGGCAGCUUUGACAAAUCAAUUUGCAAACACACCCGUGCAAAGUUUGCCUUCUCCAUCGCGCAAACGCAGCUUGCUCCAGGUUUAGCCACACACUGGUCUACCCAAUGGCCGUAGUGACAUGUAACAUCGUUUUUUCGGUCCAUGGUAAGCGGACCAAAACGACCGUCAUCUGAAUAGCAGCAGCCUCGGAUUGAAACUUGGCUAGCCACUGUCACAGGCUCCGACCUCCAAACUUG